Molecule: ribosomal RNA, 535 nt
Filed under: uncultured bacterium
Lineage: Bacteria
Description: bacterial SSU rRNA
Rfam family: Bacterial small subunit ribosomal RNA
Source: RNAcentral
CCUGAUGCAGCGACGCCGCGUGCGGGAUGAAGGGGCUUAGCCUCGUAAACCGCUGUCGGAGGGGACGAAUGGUACAUUUGAUGUACUGAGACGGUACCCUCAAAGGAAGGAUCGGCUAACUACGUGCCAGCAGCCGCGGUAAUACGUAGGAUCCGAGCGUUGUCCGGAAUUACUGGGGUGUAAAGGGGUGCGUAGGCGGACUUGUGCGUCAGAGGUGAAAUCCACGGGCUUAACCCGUGGGGUGCCUUUGAUACGGCAAGUCUUGAGUGCGAAAGAGGUGGGUGGAAUUCCUGGUGUAGCAGUGAAAUGCGUAGAUAUCAGGAGGAACACCGAUGGCGAAGGCAGCCCACCGGCUCGCAACUGACGCUGAGGCACGAAAGCGUGGGGAUCAAACAGGAUUAGAUACCCUGGUAGUCCACGCCUUAAACGAUGUAUGCUUGGUGUUGGGUCGCAAGACUCAGUGCCGGAGGAAACCUAUUAAGCAUACCACCUGGGGAGUACGAUCGCAAGGUUGAAACUCAAAGGAAUUGACGGG